AACGAACGCUGGCGGCAGGCCUAACACAUGCAAGUCGAGCGAGACCUUCGGGUCUAGCGGCGGACGGGUUAGUAACGCGUGGGAACGUGCCCUUCUCUGCGGAAUAGCCACUGGAAACGGUGAGUAAUACCGCAUACGCCCUUCGGGGGAAAGAUUUAUCGGAGAAGGAUCGGCCCGCGUUAGAUUAGAUAGUUGGUGGGUAACGGCCUACCAAGUCUACGAUCUAUAGCUGGUUUUAGAGGAUGAUCAGCAACACUGGGACUGAGACGCGGCCCAGACUCCUACGGGAGGCAGCAGUGGGGAAUCUUAGACAAUGGGCGCAAGCCUGAUCUAGCCAUGCCGCGUGUGUGAUGAAGGUCUUAGGAUCGUAAAGCACUUUCGCCAGGGAUGAUAAUGACAGUACCUGGUAAAGAAACCCCGGCUAACUCCGUG
Molecule: ribosomal RNA, 432 nt
Filed under: uncultured bacterium
Lineage: Bacteria
Description: bacterial SSU rRNA
Rfam family: Bacterial small subunit ribosomal RNA
Source: RNAcentral